AACGGGGUGCCUUUUCUUCCCUCCCGGGAAGAGGGGCUGAGAGGCGUGGAACGCCAACCCGAAGAACCUGAUCCGGUUAGCACCGGCGGAGGGAUUAGACG
RNAcentral lists this non-coding RNA (101 nucleotides) under uncultured Gellertiella sp. Its description in RNAcentral is "TPP riboswitch (THI element)". It matches the Rfam family "TPP riboswitch aptamer (THI element)", at positions 9 to 90 of the family's 105-position model. Rfam says of the family: Vitamin B(1) in its active form thiamin pyrophosphate (TPP) is an essential coenzyme that is synthesised by coupling of pyrimidine and thiazole moieties in bacteria. The previously detected thiamin-regulatory element, thi box was extended, resulting in a new, highly conserved RNA secondary structure, the THI element, which is widely distributed in eubacteria and also occurs in some archaea. Lineage: Bacteria; Pseudomonadati; Pseudomonadota; Alphaproteobacteria; Hyphomicrobiales; Rhizobiaceae. The record is from RNAcentral.